Molecule: ribosomal RNA, 869 nt
Filed under: uncultured Bacteroidota bacterium
Lineage: Bacteria; Pseudomonadati; Bacteroidota
Description: bacterial SSU rRNA
Rfam family: Bacterial small subunit ribosomal RNA
Source: RNAcentral
GCCCUUAGAGUUUGAUCCUGGCUCAGGAUGAACGCUAGCGGCAGGCUUAACACAUGCAAGUCGAGGGGCAGCAUAAUGGAUAGCAAUAUCUAUGGUGGCGACCGGCGCACGGGUGCGUAACGCGUAUGCAACCUACCUUUAACAGGGGGAUAACACUGAGAAAUUGGUACUAAUACCCCAUAAUAUCAUAGAAGGCAUCUUUUAUGGUUGAAAAUUCCGAUGGUUAGAGAUGGGCAUGCGUUGUAUUAGCUAGUUGGUGGGGUAACGGCUCACCAAGGCGACGAUACAUAGGGGGACUGAGAGGUUAACCCCCCACACUGGUACUGAGACACGGACCAGACUCCUACGGGAGGCAGCAGUGAGGAAUAUUGGUCAAUGGACGCAAGUCUGAACCAGCCAUGCCGCGUGCAGGAUGACGGCUCUAUGAGUUGUAAACUGCUUUUGUACGAGGGUAAACGCAGAUACGUGUAUCUGUCUGAAAGUAUCGUACGAAUAAGGAUCGGCUAACUCCGUGCCAGCAGCCGCGGUAAUACGGAGGAUUCAAGCGUUAUCCGGAUUUAUUGGGUUUAAAGGGUGCGUAGGCGGUUUGAUAAGUUAGAGGUGAAAUUUCGGGGCUCAACCCUGAACGUGCCUCUAAUACUGUUGAGCUAGAGAGUAGUUGCGGUAGGCGGAAUGUAUGGUGUAGCGGUGAAAUGCUUAGAGAUCAUACAGAACACCGAUUGCGAAGGCAGCUUACCAAACUAUAUCUGACGUUGAGGCACGAAAGCGUGGGGAGCAAACAGGAUUAGAUACCCUGGUAGUCCACGCAGUAAACGAUGAUAACUCGUUGUCGGCGAUACACAGUCGGUGACUAAGCGAAAGCGAUAAGU